CCCUAUGGGGUGCAGCCGGCGUUUGUAGAAAAAGGUGCUGUGCAAUGUGGUUACUGUACACCCGGGUUUGUCAUGUCGGCCGCAAAAUUACUGGAGGCAUAUCCUCAGCCCAGCCGCGAACAAAUUCAGCAGGCAAUCACCGGCAAUCUUUGCCGGUGUACGGGUUAUUACAAAAUUGUUGAGGCGAUUGAGCUGGCUGCUUUAUUAAAAGAGCAAGGAGGAGUAAAUCAUGGGUAAGCAUUAUGGUGGCAGUCUUCGGCAGGCCGAUCCGGGCCCAUCUCGGCCCGACAUUCACCCUGUCUGGCGUGGAAUUGGCGGGAGAGC
Molecule: ribosomal RNA, 324 nt
Filed under: uncultured prokaryote
Description: partial 16S ribosomal RNA
Source: RNAcentral